UGAUCCUGGCUCAGAUUGAACGCUGGCGGCAUGCCUUACACAUGCAAGUCGAACGGCAGCACGGACUUCGGUCUGGUGGCGAGUGGCGAACGGGUGAGUAAUGUAUCGGAACGUACCUUUCAGUGGGGGAUAACGUAGCGAAAGUUACGCUAAUACCGCAUAUUCUGUGAGCAGGAAAGCAGGGGAUCGCAAGACCUUGCGCUGAUUGAGCGGCCGAUAUCAGAUUAGCUAGUUGGUGGGGUAAAGGCCUACCAAGGCUACGAUCUGUAGCGGGUCUGAGAGGAUGAUCCGCCACAC
Molecule: ribosomal RNA, 297 nt
Filed under: Dechloromonas sp. R-28407
Lineage: Bacteria; Pseudomonadati; Pseudomonadota; Betaproteobacteria; Rhodocyclales; Azonexaceae
Description: 16S ribosomal RNA
Rfam family: Bacterial small subunit ribosomal RNA
Source: RNAcentral